This is a long non-coding RNA of Myiozetetes cayanensis, 2031 nucleotides long. RefSeq lists it as uncharacterized. The record is from RefSeq and is a predicted model, not a curated record. The transcript is spliced from 4 exons. Lineage: Eukaryota; Metazoa; Chordata; Aves; Passeriformes; Tyrannidae.
GCUGUGAGGAGCCAUGGGGAUGGGCUGUGGGGAGCUGUGGUCCCUGCCCGUGGGGAGCCGUGACCAAGGGCUGUGAGGCGGCCACAGCCUGUCAGGAGUGACUGCGCACUGGAACAGGCUGCCUGGAGAGGGUGUGGGGUGUCCUUGUGGAGAAGCACUUGGGGGUGAUGGAAAACUCUUAUGUGAGCUGGCAGUGAGCAACUGGACCCUGGGAUACAACAAGUGGAUGUGGCACUUUGCAACACGGUUGAGUUUAUAAGGUGGUGAUCAGUCAAAGGUUGGACUCGAUGAUCUUUGAGGUCUUUUCCAGCUGUAAUGACUCCAUGAUCCUGUGAUUACCAGAGGUGGCCACACUUGUACCAGGGUGCAAGGUGGAGUUUUCCACAAAUCAAGCACCCCAAGGGGUAAUAAUAAAUAAUGGCCAGUCUUCGCGAGCGAAGAUCCGGGGAAGGUCUUUCCACCUUCCAGCCUGCGCAUUGGAUUUUUUAGGUGAGACACAGUGUGCGCGGAACUGAGCCCACCCUUUAAUCCUAAGGUUCAUCUGCCGGGGCCAAGCGAGCUUGGACGGUGGCAGCGAGGUCCUUAGGACGUAGGUGGGUUGCCUUUAAGGGCUAACGAGCCCCACCUGCCCGGGAGUGGCCCUGACCGGGAAUCGAACCCGGGUCUCCACGGUGACAGCGCGGCGCCUUUACCGGUAGACCACCAGGGGCUCCUACCCCAAGGGACAGAGAACACCAUGGAGUGAAUUCACUUCCGUUUGGAUUUGCAAGUUAAUUGUGAUGCAACAAAGACGUUUCCACAUGCAAGUUUUUAUUUUCUCAAUUGUUAAAUUAAACCCUAAUUAACGUUCCUGGGAGGAAUCCCUUCUGCACCUCUCUCUCUGGUGACGUGUAAAACCCCAGGGGGGUUACGGACCCGCAGCCAAGUCACCACCACUUGUUACUUGGUGGCAGAAGUAAGUGGGACAUCUCGCAGGAACAGAUUGAAAUCUUUUAAUGCUGCUUUGGCACGAGCCAGGAGGCUCAGCGAGGGCAAAUCUUUUAUUAAUAGAACCUCUCCAAGCGCUCCUUUUCACCCACGGAGUUAAAAAGAUCCCCGUUUAAAAACCAUCGAGGUGGUUACAAUUCAGGCAAAGGCAGUAAAAGUGAUCUCAGAUCACAUGUUAAGGGUGUGAUUCAUCAAGAUCUGCCCAAAUUAAGGCAGGAGUGGCAAGUGCAGCUGCCAGCACAGUCACCAGAUCUCAGCUCUGUCAGGCCCACGUUACUCCCUAAAACAUCUGUGCUUGGGAGGAUUGUUUUUAGGCAGAUCCUUGACAGAGAGAAAGGGAAAAUGUCGGUUUCUGCUUGGUUUGGGUCAUCUGUGGGACAGCUUUUGCCUUGUUACUGCAUGGAGCUCUCGUGCUUUAAUGUAAGAUUAUUAACCCAGAUAUGUGUGUAGUUUGGUGCUUCAAGGGUGAAUCCGAAUUGACAGAGUUUAGAUGACACAGAAGUUUUUAAAACCAAACUGCACCGGUAUUUCUGAAGGUGUCUUCAAGCAAUCUCUUGCAUGAGAAACGUGGGGAAUGUGCCAUAUCUUGUUCCAACAUUGUAUUCACAAGGCUUUUCUAUUUUUUUUCAGUUGCUUUGACUAAAAUUGCAAGCUAUUACUGGAAAAAAAUGACAUUUUUAUUAAGUCAUGUGUAAAAGUUCAGAGCAUAUCUAAAGCUUGCUGAGGAGCAUAAGAAUUUCCAAAAAAAGGUGACCUGAUUUUGAAAUAAAACAUGGUGUCAGUGCAAAUCCAGAAGUUGGACUGUGUGAAGUACCUGCUCCUACUCCCAAAGCUGCCAGGACUGUGCCCUUCACGUGGCAAUUACACACUGAUUUUUUGGACUCAGUUCUUGUAUCUGACUUGCUCCAAAAAUAGAUCCUUUCUGCAGAAAUCAGCAAGUUGUAUCCAACCCUUUGUAGGGGUAAAUUUGAUCUGUGGGCCAUUUUUAUUUUCAGCCACUUUUGUCUGUUCCUCUUUUUGGCAAAGGCCUCCCUUGUUCUUGGC